RNAcentral lists this ribosomal RNA (468 nucleotides) under uncultured bacterium. RNAcentral's name for it is "partial 16S ribosomal RNA". It matches the Rfam family "Bacterial small subunit ribosomal RNA", at positions 28 to 507 of the family's 1533-position model. The record is from RNAcentral.
GACGAACGCUGGCGGCGUGCUUAACACAUGCAAGUCGAACGGAAAGGCCCUUCUUUUGUUGGGUGCUCGAGUGGCGAACGGGUGAGUAACACGUGAUUAACCUGCCCUUUACUUUUGGAUAACUUCAGGAAACUGGGGCUAAUACCGGAUAGGAGCUCCUGCUGCAUGGUGGGGGUUGGAUAGUUUCGGCGGUUGGGGAUGGACUCGCGGCUUAUCAGCUUGUUGGUGGGGUAGUGGCUUACCAAGGCUUUGACGGGUAGCCGGCCUGAGAGGGUGACCGGCCACAUUGGGACUGAGAUACGGCCCAGACUCCUACGGGAGGCAGCAGUGGGGAAUAUUGCACAAUGGGCGGAAGCCUGAUGCAGCAACGCCGCGUGCGGGAUGACGGCCUUCGGGUUGUAAACCGCUUUCGGCUGUGACGAAGCGUGAGUGACGGUAAUGGGUAAAGAAGCACCGGCUAACUACGUG